Molecule: long non-coding RNA, 897 nt
Filed under: Astyanax mexicanus (Mexican tetra)
Lineage: Eukaryota; Metazoa; Chordata; Actinopteri; Characiformes; Acestrorhamphidae
Description: lncRNA (ENSAMXG00005003069.1)
Source: RNAcentral
UAGAAAACAAUUUAGUCUCCAAAAAAGACCUCUGGAAGUUCAGGCAAGAGGUCAGAAAAUCAGUAAGUAUAUUUCCAUUAAUAAUUUUAAUAAUUGUUGUAAUAAGACUGUAGGGGUCAUGGUUUAAUUUUUUUUUUUAAUUAUUUAUUUUUUUGCUUCUCACAACAAACUUGGAGGAGGAGCCAAGGUGGUCUACCCUGGAGCAGGUCUUUGGCCUGCUUGCAGGCUAUUUCAUCUUUUUUUGGGGGGCACCAGAGAGGAGUCCUUCAAAAUAUGCUGGUGACGGAGGUCCAGGAGGCAGAAUUCAAGGUUACCGAGGAUAUCAUAGAGGUAAGUGUUCAUGAUCACAGGAAAACAAGGUUGUUGAUUGGUUAAGAAAUGGUGCAUGUUUUUUAUUUGUUUUCUUAAUUUGCUGGUGCAGCAAGGACCCAAUGAGCAGCCCACAAACAGCUCCAGCUCCCCGAACCCAAAGUCCAGAAGGCGGCUUUUCAUCUUGGAUUCUUCCUCCUCCUCGUCUGGCUCGGACGUGGAGUUUGUUGAAGAGGGGCACCAUUCAGAUGCUUCAGGGGCUUCAUCUGAGUCCAUACUGCUUCAGUCCACGAGGUGGUAUGCAGCCUCAGGUGAGGGCCCCACCAUUGAACCAUUUGUGCUUGAGAGCCCCGCCAAGUCGCUAAGGUCUACUUCUGAGUACCACGUCAUUGGCCAGGACCCCUCACCUGGCCAUUCCUAUCUGGGCUGUCCGGUGAGGGUUAGGUCUGAGGAUAUGCCACUUCUUUGAAAUCACUCCUCACCCAGAGUCAAGGUCUGUCAUUUGGACGAGCUCCACCAGCGUCAGCAGUAACCGGUAGAUGCUUGGGCGAUUUCAGAAGACAGCGGUUAUGAGGACGAAGCCCUCUC